Molecule: long non-coding RNA, 1409 nt
Organism: Amphiprion ocellaris (clown anemonefish)
Lineage: Eukaryota; Metazoa; Chordata; Actinopteri; Pomacentridae
Source: Ensembl
UGACUAGACUGAAACAUUAAAAUCACUCCUUUCUAAUACUCUGCUGUAUGUUCAAACCUGAGGCCUGAAAUAGAAAUGUACAAGUAUCUGAUUGAAGGAACUUCUGCAGAGUCCUGGUUCUAGAACAUGAUGAUAGAAUUAUAGACAAACUUUAACAAAAGCUGCCUGAGAGUUUACAGGUUUUUAUGUUAGAUUUCUUCUGUAAUUUAAUGAGUUAUCAGCAAUAAUCAAGUGUUUAUUUGAUGAACUUCAUUUCCUAAAACAUCCAGAAUUGGAGCUCAUAUCUUUGGCAGCUGUAAAGUUUCUGCUCCUUCAAAGUUCACAACACAAUGAAUGAAUUCCUAAAACACUCUUAAUGCUGGAGAGCGUUUGUGAUGCUGAAGCAGUGAUCAGUUUUUCUGUUUCUUCUCUGGAGAUGCACAAUGAGGGACGUCUGCAGAGACUGAGAAAGAGUCUCACCACAUCCUGACAUGAGGAAAAAAGACUUUAUUGAAGACUACAAUGAGAAAAACUAUCAGACAGCAGACGGCUGCAUUCAAGUCUGUAGCUGCUGAAUUCAUGGAUGAAUCAUCUGGCACUGGAGAAGAAGACCAUCAAACAUCCACGUCAGCUGAUGGAGGUCCAAGAGUCUCACCAAACAAACAACCUACAGAGUGAAGACCUCGAAUCUGAUUGGACGGCCUCCUAUUCAGCCACAUGCUGUUAGAUUGUUCCAGAUAAGACAAGUAAAAGAUACUUCAGAGCUGUUCUACCAUGAGCCUGACAGGAAGAACUCCAACAGCUACUGAAUGUUCCUGUGGUCCCCUCAAGGCUACAGGAGGAGCCCUACGAGGACGAGCCGGUCCACCUGAUGGCAGCCAGUCGCUGUGGUUCAAAGCCAACACCGACUACGUGGACUUCUACUGGACCACACGGAGGCCUUCAAACCAGACCAACAAGUUCAGCGACUCCCCGACUCGUGGGUCUGAGGACGCCACCGAGCCUCGACCCAGCCGGCCUCCUGUCUGUGGAUGUUUGAGUGCUGAGAGGUUUGUGGAUGCAUGUGAAUGUGUCUGUGUUGAAACAGCAGCUUUGGACUCAGUAACGCCGGGAAAAACCAAGAGCUCCUUUAUUUGUGACUUCCACUAAAAAACUGAUGAAAAUAAGUUUGCCAGGGUUCUGACUGAUAAUAGAUUAUUAAAUAAUGAAAAUAACAGUUUAAAUAUUCCUUUAAACAAUCCUUUUAGGUCUACAUUUCCUUUACACUGACUUCUUGGAAUAUGUACAAGUAUUUUGAGUGGACUAUACCAUUAAGCCCAACGUUCAAGGGUUCUUCUGGGAAUAUACCAUUAAACCAACCUUUUAGGUAAAUGUUCCAGGAUGUUGGGUAGAAUAUACCAUCAGAUAAACCUUUUAGGUCUACAUUGGAA